This 617-nucleotide ribosomal RNA is filed under the name Salmonella enterica subsp. enterica serovar Typhimurium. RNAcentral's name for it is "partial 23S ribosomal RNA". It matches the Rfam family "Bacterial large subunit ribosomal RNA", at positions 572 to 1190 of the family's 2925-position model. The record is from RNAcentral. Lineage: Bacteria; Pseudomonadati; Pseudomonadota; Gammaproteobacteria; Enterobacterales; Enterobacteriaceae.
AGUGGGAGCACCCUUCGGGGUGUGACUGCGUACCUUUUGUAUAAUGGGUCAGCGACUUAUAUUCUGUAGCAAGGUUAACCGUAUAGGGGAGCCGGAGGGAAACCGAGUCUUAACCGGGCGUUAAGUUGCAGGGUAUAGACCCGAAACCCGGUGAUCUAGCCAUGGGCAGGUUGAAGGUUGGGUAACACUAACUGGAGGACCGAACCGACUAAUGUUGAAAAAUUAGCGGAUGACCUGUGGCUGGGGGUGAAAGGCCAAUCAAACCGGGAGAUAGCUGGUUCUCCCCGAAAGCUAUUUAGGUAGCGCCUCGUGAAUUCAUCUCCGGGGGUAGAGCACUGUUUCGGCUAGGGGGCCAUCCCGGCUUACCAACCCGAUGCAAACUGCGAAUACCGGAGAAUGUUAUCACGGGAGACACACGGCGGGUGCUAACGUCCGUCGUGAAGAGGGAAACAACCCAGACCGCCAGCUAAGGUCCCAAAGUCAUGGUUAAGUGGGAAACGAUGUGGGAAGGCCCAGACAGCCAGGAUGUUGGCUUAGAAGCAGCCAUCAUUUAAAGAAAGCGUAAUAGCUCACUGGUCGAGUCGGCCUGCGCGGAAGAUGUAACGGGGCUAAACCAU